This 245-nucleotide ribosomal RNA is filed under the name uncultured Prevotella sp. Its description in RNAcentral is "partial 16S ribosomal RNA". It matches the Rfam family "Bacterial small subunit ribosomal RNA", at positions 524 to 768 of the family's 1533-position model. The record is from RNAcentral. Lineage: Bacteria; Pseudomonadati; Bacteroidota; Bacteroidia; Bacteroidales; Prevotellaceae.
UACGGAAGGUCCGGGCGUUAUCCGGAUUUAUUGGGUUUAAAGGGAGCGCAGGCCGAUUGGUAAGCGUGACGUGAAAUGUAGCCGCUCAACGGCUGAGUUGCGUCGCGAACUGCCGAUCUUGAGUGAGUUCGAUGUAGGCGGAAUUCGUGGUGUAGCGGUGAAAUGCUUAGAUAUCACGAAGAACCCCGAUUGCGAAGGCAGCCUACAAGGCCUUUACUGACGCUAAAGCUCGAAGGUGCGGGUAU